AUAAUGACUCUCGGCAACGGAUAUCUCGGCUCUCGCAUCGAUGAAGAACGCAGCGAAAUGCGAUACUUGGUGUGAAUUGCAGAAUCCCGUGAACCAUCGAGUCUUUGAACGCAAGUUGCGCCCGAAGCCAUUAGGCUGAGGGCACGUCUGCCUGGGUGUCACAC
RNAcentral lists this ribosomal RNA (164 nucleotides) under Antopetitia abyssinica. Its description in RNAcentral is "5.8S ribosomal RNA". It matches the Rfam family "5.8S ribosomal RNA". From Rfam's summary of the family: 5.8S ribosomal RNA (5.8S rRNA) is a component of the large subunit of the eukaryotic ribosome. It is transcribed by RNA polymerase I as part of the 45S precursor that also contains 18S and 28S rRNA. Lineage: Eukaryota; Viridiplantae; Streptophyta; Magnoliopsida; Fabales; Fabaceae. The record is from RNAcentral.